Molecule: ribosomal RNA, 428 nt
Filed under: uncultured prokaryote
Description: bacterial SSU rRNA
Rfam family: Bacterial small subunit ribosomal RNA
Source: RNAcentral
UGAGGAAUCUUGCGCAAUGGGGGAAACCCUGACGCAGCAACGCCGCGUGAGUGAGGAAGGCCUUCGGGUCGUAAAGCUCUGUCAGAUGGAAAGAAAUGCAUGGGGGUUAAUAGCCUUCAUGCUUGACGGUACCAUCAGAGGAAGCACCGGCUAACUCCGUGCCAGCAGCCGCGGUAAUACGGGGGGUGCAAGCGUUGUUCGGAAUCAUUGGGCGUAAAGAGCGUGUAGGCGGCUUGAUAAGUCAGAUGUGAAAGCCCUGGGCUCAACCUGGGAAGUGCAUUUGAAACUGUCAUGCUUGAGUAGGGGAGAGGGAAGUGGAAUUCCUGGUGUAGAGGUGAAAUUCGUAGAUAUCAGGAGGAACACCGGUGGCGAAGGCGACUUCCUGGCCCUAUACUGACGCUGAGACGCGAGAGCGUGGGUAGCAAACA